UGACUGAGCGGCGGACGGGUGAGUAACGCGUGGGCAACCUGCCUUACACAGGGGGAUAACAGUUAGAAAUGACUGCUAAUACCGCAUAAGACCACAAAACCGCAUGGUUUAGUGGUAAAAACUCCGGUGGUGUAAGAUGGGCCCGCGUCUGAUUAGGUAGUUGGUGGGGUAACGGCCUACCAAGCCGACGAUCAGUAGCCGACCUGAGAGGGUGACCGGCCACAUUGGGACUGAGACACGGCCCAGACUCCUACGGAAGGCAGCAG
RNAcentral lists this ribosomal RNA (266 nucleotides) under uncultured bacterium. Its description in RNAcentral is "partial 16S ribosomal RNA". It matches the Rfam family "Bacterial small subunit ribosomal RNA", at positions 88 to 354 of the family's 1533-position model. The record is from RNAcentral.